CUACGGGGGGCACCAGUGGGGAAUAUUGCACAAUGGGCGCAAGCCUGAUGCAGCCAUGCCGCGUGUACGAAGAAGGCCUUCGGGUUGUAAAGUACUUUCAGCGGGGAGGAAGGGAGUAAAGUUAAUACCUUUGCUCAUUGACGUUACCCGCAGAAGAAGCACCGGCUAACUCCGUGCCAGCAGCCGCGGUAAUACGGAGGGUGCAAGCGUUAAUCGGAAUUACUGGGCGUAAAGCGCACGCAGGCGGUUUGUUAAGUCAGAUGUGAAAUCCCCGGGCUCAACCUGGGAACUGCAUCUGAUACUGGCAAGCUUGAGUCUCGUAGAGGGGGGUAGAAGUCCAGGUGUAGCGGUGAUAUGCGUAGAGAUCUGGAGGAAUACCGGUGGCGAAGGCGGCCCCCUGGACGAAGACUGACGCUCAGGUGCGAAAGCGUGGGGAGCAAACAGGAUUAGAUACCCGGGUAGUC
RNAcentral lists this ribosomal RNA (464 nucleotides) under uncultured bacterium. RNAcentral describes it as "partial 16S ribosomal RNA". It matches the Rfam family "Bacterial small subunit ribosomal RNA", at positions 339 to 795 of the family's 1533-position model. The record is from RNAcentral.